UCGAAACACCAGUUCCCGUACGAUCACCGAAGUUAAGCAACGUUGAGCACGGUCAGUACCUAGAUAGAUGGGUGACCGUUUGGGAAUACGAGGUGCUGUAAG
Acanthosepion pharaonis is the source of this 102-nucleotide non-coding RNA. The record is from the annotation of a GenBank genome assembly. NCBI's taxonomy places the organism in Eukaryota, Metazoa, Mollusca, Cephalopoda, Sepiida, Sepiidae.